This 575-nucleotide ribosomal RNA is filed under the name uncultured bacterium. RNAcentral's name for it is "partial 16S ribosomal RNA". It matches the Rfam family "Bacterial small subunit ribosomal RNA", at positions 355 to 922 of the family's 1533-position model. The record is from RNAcentral.
UGGGGAAUUUUGGACAAUGGGCGAAAGCCUGAUCCAGCAAUGCCGCGUGUGUGAAGAAGGCCUUCGGGUUGUAAAGCACUUUUGUCCGGAAAGAAAUCCUUGGCUCUAAUACAGUCGGGGGAUGACGGUACCGGAAGAAUAAGCACCGGCUAACUACGUGCCAGCAGCCGCGGUAAUACGUAGGGUGCAAGCGUUAAUCGGAAUUACUGGGCGUAAAGCGUGCGCAGGCGGUUUGCUAAGACCGAUGUGAAAUCCCCGGGCUCAACCUGGGAACUGCAUUGGUGACUGGCAGGCUAGAGUAUGGCAGAGGGGGGUAGAAUUCCACGUGUAGCAGUGAAAUGCGUAGAGAUGUGGAGGAAUACCGAUGGCGAAGGCGAGCCCCCUGGGCCAAUACUGACGCUCAUGCACGAAAGCGUGGGGAGCAAACAGGAUUAGAUACCCUGGUAGUCCACGCCCUAAACGAUGUCAACUAGUUGUUGGGGAUUCAUUUCCUUAGUAACGUAGCUAACGCGUGAAGUUGACCGCCUGGGGAGUACGGUCGCAAGAUUAAAACUCAAAUGAAUUGACGGGGUCAU